Egretta garzetta (little egret) is the source of this 624-nucleotide long non-coding RNA. RefSeq lists it as uncharacterized. The transcript is spliced from 3 exons. Lineage: Eukaryota; Metazoa; Chordata; Aves; Pelecaniformes; Ardeidae. The record is from RefSeq and is a predicted model, not a curated record.
UGCUGCCGACGCUGACAGGUGGGGGGGGGAAAAAAACAAACCGCGCGGGAAAAGUUGGAGGAGAGCAGCUGUGCGACCCCCCAGCUCGUUGGUGUGGGGUGGCUUUUCCUGCCCACCUCGGCGGCCGCAGCUUCCCUGCUGCGCGGAGGAAACGGAGGAAGGGGAAGCAGUUACCGCUGCAACUUUAAAUACAUUGUAGACGCCGAAGGUGCUAAAAUGAGACGUGGUUUUUUUCAGUGCGGCCACUGGAGGGAAUCUCGGUUUCGCCACAGAUCCUGACGUACAAGUUUGCAAAGUCUAAGUUCUUUACAAGGGAGCAGAAGGGAGGAGAAGGAAGAUGCUUCAUGUGAGCGCAGUCUGUGAGGACAGGGUCCCAGGGUACAAAACAGGAGAUUGCAUCCACAGGGAGAAGUUGGUGUUUUCCGAGCAGGAACUGUAGGCCUUGGUCUUCCCUUGGUUUAGACUGAGAGCAACAAGGGGUGUGUGCUAGAAAUAGGUUGGAAUUUGGGGGUUAGAUACAGCUCUGUUGGAUACACAGAAAAAAAACCCUGUUACCAGGCUUCAAGAGGACAGAACUGUGAGGAAAAGGUAUGCACUUGAUGAUCAUGUCUGUUUGGCUUUUGC